Molecule: ribosomal RNA, 545 nt
Filed under: uncultured bacterium
Lineage: Bacteria
Description: partial 16S ribosomal RNA
Rfam family: Bacterial small subunit ribosomal RNA
Source: RNAcentral
UGGGGAAUAUUGCACAAUGGGCGCAAGCCUGAUGCAGCCAUGCCGCGUGUGUGAAGAAGGCCUUCGGGUUGUAAAGCACUUUCAGCGAGGAGGAAGGUGGUGGACUUAAUACGUUCAUCAAUUGACGUUACUCGCAGAAGAAGCACCGGCUAACUCCGUGCCAGCAGCCGCGGUAAUACGGAGGGUGCAAGCGUUAAUCGGAAUUACUGGGCGUAAAGCGCACGCAGGCGGUUUGUUAAGUCAGAUGUGAAAUCCCCGGGCUCAACCUGGGAACUGCAUUUGAAACUGGCAAGCUAGAGUCUCGUAGAGGGGGGUAGAAUUCCAGGUGUAGCGGUGAAAUGCGUAGAGAUCUGGAGGAAUACCGGUGGCGAAGGCGGCCCCCCUGGACGAAGACUGACGCUCAGGUGCGAAAGCGUGGGGCAGCAAACAGGAUUAGAUACCCUGGUAGUCCAGCGCUGUAAAACGAUGUCGAUUUGGAGGUUGUGCCCUUGAGGCGUGGCUUCCGGAGCUAACGCGUUAAAUCGACCGCCUGGGGGAGUACGGCC